RNAcentral lists this long non-coding RNA (2025 nucleotides) under Stegodyphus dumicola. Its description in RNAcentral is "uncharacterized LOC118198313, transcript variant X2". The record is from RNAcentral. Lineage: Eukaryota; Metazoa; Arthropoda; Arachnida; Araneae; Eresidae.
ACGUUAGCUUCGUAAUUCCCGUGCAAAAUAAUCGUUGCAUUGGAACGAAAGAUAAGUUCCAACUGUUGAUGUAUUUCUAGAGGGUUAAUUUGAAAUGUAGGUCGGUAUCGAUAUUGAAAAAGUUUGGGCAAAAAUCACUGCGUUUUAUUGCUUUCCUGUGUCAAAGUUUACAGAUCACUUUCUUUCGGACGCAUUUCUGGUUCGGGGAAGUGUCAACAACCGAUUCAUUUUGCUCAAACAAACUGCGUAAAUCGUCGGAUUGCAAGCUGACAUCUUACUCGUAUCCUGCUGUUGUGGGAGUGUCCGCCAAUGUUAUGGGUUCUUUAUCGCUCUUUCUGUCUAGAGAACUAGCUCCAGGGCUUUUAAAACUUCAUACAAGAAAAUGACACCUGUCAUUGCAACCAAUAUGCUGUUUUCCAGAGAAAGUUACUAGUAUUGCGGACAAGUCUUCCGAAAUCAACUAGAAAACACUUGGACUUUAGGAGGCAUGCAAUUGAUCUCAUUUCAAUUUGGGAAUAAGCUGUGGAUAUUUCAGUUUGGAAGACUCAAUAAUGUUGUAUUCGAAGAACACUGAAAUGUAAUUCUUGUUUAUUAAUAAAUGUUAUAUUUUAUUUUUCAUGUGUUUCUUUUAAUCAUUUCUUAUUAAAAAAAACAUAUUUCGAAAGGCUGAUGCUAAAGAUGGCAUAAACUGAACAAACCGUUUUCAUUGUGUAGAAAAUAUAGUUUAAUCAGCUCUUACAUAAAAAAUCUGCUUAUAUGUAUUACUUAUCAUUACACCAAAAUUUUAAUAUUAUUAAAUGUAUUUUUAAUCUGUAUAUGCCUAGCUAUUUCAUGUUGAAAUUAUAAUGAACAACUAUAAGUGUUGUUUUCAUAGGGAAGAACAGGGUUGCAUAUUGCUUUAAAAACAAACACAUAAUUCUAAAUGUAUUUAAUCAACUUUGGUUCAAAAGAUGGUUUGUAAUUGGUUGCUUAAAUUUAUUUUGCGUAGUUUUAAGUACUUUCAUUCCAACAAGGCCGUCAAUUAUGCCUUCAAUUUUGGUCAUGAAAUUUAUUUUAAAAUUCCGCAUUAAGCUUUUUAGAUUUAAGCCUGUAUAUCUCAGUAAAAAUAUUGAUAAGCUUGUUUUAGUUCAAGUAAGAAAUGUAAAAUAAAUAUCACUUUUUAGCUCUUUAAAUAAAAAUAUUAAAUUAAUGAUGAUAAAUUUUACUAUUUAACUUAGAUCAUAUUGCAUCAAACUUUGAUCAACUUGUAUCGAACAUAAUUUUGAAUACAAGUUAUCAUAAAGUUUAUAGAUUUUGCUACUUUAAAAAUUAAUUCAGACUUAGAUUGGAAUUUAUUGUAAGAUUUUUGUAUUUUGAGAUAAUUUAGCCCUAGUCUCCCCCCUUCAGUGGAGCAAGUAGUUAUUUCAAAUAUCAUUGGUUUAAAUAAGAAAUAAGUGGACCAUUGUCAUGGCCAUUUCUUGAUGAAAUGGGAGAGGAAAUAUUAAAACAACCUGCCAAAUGUAUAGAGAGGAUAAAAUUUUCAACACUUUUUAAAAGACAGAAUUAGAAUACAAGUUAUAAAUUAAAAGUGACAGAUUGAUGAAUAUAGAAAGCCAUCAACAAAAUCUACUGAAUUAAUUGAAUUUUAGAAGAAUGAGAGUUGAGAGACUAACAAUGUUCCGCAAUUAUUAGUUUCUCCUUUCCUGCUAAGAUUUGUGUUUUUAAAAAAUAGCUCUGAAUUUAAUAAGACUGGCAUUGCUGAAAUUAAGUUAGUAUUUAAUUUUCUUUCUGUCAUCUUUACACUCAAUUAAUUAAGCAUAUAGUGUCUUAGUAGGAUUUUCUGAUUGCUUUUAUUUAUACCUUGAAGUUUUGCUUUUAUUUAUAAAGUUACUGAAAUUCAUAUCGUGCAUGUUUUGCAGCUGUUUUUGGACUUGUUCCUUUUUAAUAAAUAUAUUAAUUGAUUAAUAUAUUAUUAAUAAUAUUUAAUUGGUAUAGCUUAAUAGAUAUAUUUGCAUUCUGGUUAUCUAUGCUCUAAUCUAAUUAGUA